RNAcentral lists this small RNA (110 nucleotides) under Leeuwenhoekiella aestuarii. RNAcentral's name for it is "Leeuwenhoekiella sp. R-48165 Flavo-1 RNA". It matches the Rfam family "Flavo-1 RNA". The record is from RNAcentral. Lineage: Bacteria; Pseudomonadati; Bacteroidota; Flavobacteriia; Flavobacteriales; Flavobacteriaceae.
ACCUAGCCCUGAUUGCAGCGGCAUCCUUUUUACCGGUUGCUGAGUGAUUUGCUGGCGGCAAAUUAUAUCGAAGCACCGAGAAAAAGAUAUAGCGGAAAGCAGGUAUCAGC